Molecule: long non-coding RNA, 7987 nt
Organism: Gallus gallus (chicken)
Lineage: Eukaryota; Metazoa; Chordata; Aves; Galliformes; Phasianidae
Exons: 2
Source: RefSeq, a predicted model, not a curated record
GUGCCGGGCCGCCGCCAGCCCGACCGGAGCCACCCGCCGCACGGCCCGCGCCAGCCCGGACAUGGCCGCCCCGCCGCCCCGCCCGCCAGGCGGCUCCAAGCCGCUGCCGAGCGCUCGAACCGAGCCCCGAACGCGUCGAGCGGGAGCGGCGGCCCGGGCUGGGAGUCGCACCGCGGGGAGCUGCGGCGGGGGAUGGGGAGUUGGGGCCGUGCCGCCGUUCAGGCUGCGUUAGCGCGGAGUUCCUUACGAGCGUUGCGUUCCCCAGUGACACUUUGAGAGUCACGUUUCAUUUCCAGCCCUUCGCUUCAUCCGCACUUCCAUGUCAGAUGCGCACCUCCCUGUCAGAGCGCCCGUCUGCUGCCGUCUGGCUCACAGCAACAAAACGAAAGGGAACGCUGAUGGGAAGGCUCGGCCUCUGCCGCCAUACAUCCGCCUCUGAUGCCGUGGGCCAAGAGAAUAAAAUAGGAGGCAGUACUUUUGGAGCACAGCUUUUGUAUCUUACUCAUCGUACCCGUAUCCUACUGCGGUCAGUGGCCCCACUACCGUGAGGCAGGACACGAGAACAAGGUGGGCAGUAGCCUUCACACUGUUCUGCGGUGCUGCAGCUCCCCACCAACGCAACACGCUCGUUCUGCUGCUGGUGGCCAGCAGGAUCUGCAAACACAGGGUGUGCAAAUCAUGAGGAUUCACUGAUAUUUCUAAACCACAGCUCCUCGAAAAACAAUAAUCUCGGGGCAUUCUGAAAUCAACCUCACGACUUCUGUCAAUCAUUGCUGCAAACACCCCUGCAAUCCCAGCAGCGCCAAUCAGACGUUACUGUGGCUGCUCCUGCUGGCAUGGCCACACUUUGAUCUCAGUCUUCUCUCUGUAAUCAUCUCACGUGCUUUUCAGUUCAACGUGCAAAAGUUCUGUGGUGCUGUGCUCCUCCACUUAACGUUCCCAAUUGGGAAGCUUGUAAGAAGGUGAAUGAAUCUCCAACAACUCAGCCCACAAACAUCAAUCAGGAACCAGUCUGGAAACAUGCAGGAUGUCUGCACCAGGAGAAAAAGUCACAUUAAAAACACUGGGUUUUCAGACACCGAGAUCAACACAUUUAUCUUCAGCUCCACUUGAGCUAUGAUUCAGAUAUUUGUUCAUCUUAACUUCCUGAGGAAUUCAGUUAAACGCUGCUCAGCAGCACCCAAUGUCCCCAUCACAAAGCAGAGGAGUGGUGGUGGAUCCCAAGCCCAGUGAGGACCCAUUGGGAGGGGCCUGGUGCUGCUUUCACACAGCAUCUCAUACCUGGACGCGUGCAGCACAACAGGCCAGUCAGCAUUUGCCUGUUUUACACACACCAUGUGAAAAAUGCAGCUCUCCCCAACUUACUCAAUUUUCCUGUGAGCUGAGGAUGGUCACUUGGGAACCAUUCAAUUUCCAUAAAACAGAAAGUGAAAGUUUUAUAGUGCCACGUCGCUGCUUCCUUUGUUUUAUGAAAAUUCCAUCAGUCUGACAGAGUUCCUAGAAACAACAGGAUGGGAGCCUGGGAAACAUGUUGUGCAUCAUGGAAAGGAAUGCUGAACAGACCGUGCUGGAUCCAACUGACCCUCCAGAGGGCACACACACUUCUUUUUUCUUCUUUGCAGAAACAUCAGUUUUGAAACACUGACUUCUCGGAGGUGACUUCCUCAUAUGUGUAAUUCAGGGCCUGCUUUCAGCCUCUUGGGACUCAAAGGAAAAAUAAUUGUCACCAGCUGAAAGUUGGUAACUAAGGAACGUUUGGGAAAAACAUCAGUGUAAAAAAAGAACAACAUAAAAUAAACACAGCAAACCCUAAAAGAAAAACCCCACAAGAAACCACGCGGAAUUACUUCCUGUUUUUCUUUAAGUUCUUCUCCAGAGAGGACUAAACAAUUGCAUCCCUGAGAGUGGCUCCAUAUUCACCAUUAAAAUUCAGCUGCUGUGCAUCAGAUGUAACCCUCUCCAGCUUCUCUCCCUGCUCUGUGGGCAGAGGUACCAUACAGCACGGGAAAAGCAGUCUUGCAUAACCACUGAGCACCCGGCAGCAUCACUGCCUUCCACUCUUCUUGGCAUAUCUUUCAAACCAAAGCAGGCUGCUACAAAACAAAGUAAGAGUUACAGAGGGGGUGCAAAACACACAAAAGAUUAAGCACGUUAACCAUAAGGCAUCAUUCUGAUGCUCACAUGUCCGAAGCUGCAAUUAUAUGUCCAAAGCUACAUGCACUUCAGACAACUUUUUGGCUUGCUCUGAGAGGAGCUCCUCACAAAUGAGUGAUAAAUACCUUUCUCCACUCUUCUCUCCAGAAUACAAAUCUCAAUGAGAUGAACAAGUCCCAGACAUGUGAGCAGGAAGAAAUGUGGCACUGAGAACUGUGACUGCCCUAUGCUGGCUGACGUACUGGAAGAGAGAGGGACUCUUCUGCCCUGCUUGUGUGCCACAGCUGAGCAGCACCUCUGCAGCGUAUGCCUACCUACAAGUGAGAAAAGCAACAGGGAAAGUUGUGCUGACAGAAAGAGCAACAGGAGGAAAAAAACAUGUUCCCAGAUCCACGUGAAAUGUUACACACAUCCUGGUGUGAAGAACAGGAUCCUUACUCGCAUUUACUAUCUUUAUCUGUUCUUCUGGAUAGAAGACCAGAUCAGAUCUUUCUCAGCAUCUGGUAUUCUGGCAGUUUUUCCAAAUCCUCUAACAUUAUUUGAAGCUCCGGCAUGUUUUUUUUAAUUACUGAUAUCUACUGUCAUGAGCAAAUGAAGUACGUGCUGGUUGCUAGCCCUUGCUCCACACCUUCGCUGUUCUGACCUUCCAUUUUAGUAUAGUUUCACUUACCUGCGCUGCAAUUACAACUUUAUUCUGCCCUGCAGAUAUCCCCGGGACCACUAAAAGCACUCUUUGUAAGAACUGUGCACAGAUAACUCAAAUUGCAUGGGCUGGUCAAAAACAGGAAAAAGCCUCUUAUCAAAUUAGUAACAUCUCAGAUACUUGGGUGGAGGCAUUUGGCACCGGGCUCACAUAUUCCUACGGGAGCAUGUCCGUGCAUACCACACAGACUCCAUUCCUUUGUUUCAUAUCCUUGUUCCCAAGUUGAGGCAUGUUUCAUAAGAGCCUCUCUGUAGAGGUGUAAGUGCACAAUUACUGCAUGCUACACAGAUCAGGUGGGGGGGAUUUUACUCUGCCCCUUUCUAUACGUGUAAGAUCACAGUAGAUCACAUUAACCCAAUUUACACGGCCUCGUCCUGCAUUUUGCACUGCAAAAACUGUAGUAGGUAUUUUGUACCUUUGCAUGCAGACUAUGAAAAACAGCUAAAAACAUUUUAGAAAUCUCACUGCUGGGAAAACACAACUACCUGAGAUGAUGGACUUCCGAGCUUUUCCCUCCUGCCACUUGGAAUAACAAAUCACGUGCUUGAGCUGGAAACAUUAUUUCUUUGACCUUGAACCAAACCAGAACAUGCCCUCAGCACAGAAUAGUUUCCUUGGAUACCAUGCAUGUGCACCUUCUGAUGUACAGCAGUGGAUGUCAUGUACGCAUACACACCCAACUUGCAGUUGUACUUCAAAGUGUGAUUAAUAGCACUUUAACAAAAAAAAACCCAACAAGUGAAAACCAGGAUUACUACCUGCACACUCAUAUUUAUGUCUGCCACUCCAUUUGAAUUCCUUUUUAUCACAGUGCCUCAAGUAACAACAAUCUUGCAGUGGGAAGGUUAUCAAGGCACUGAUGAGUGCUUCAGAAGAGAAUCAAGCUCAGGGUGUGCAAAGGCUGAAGGGAAAGCUGUGCUCCACUCAAGUGAUGACAACAUUUCUUCCAAGUGGUGUAAUGAAAGCUAACAAGCUCCUACAUGACUUGGCACCUGUCAAAUUUAAACAACAGGUGUGAGUAAAAUGCAUUUCAUAUAUGGACAGGCGGUGUUCUCGUAAAUUCUCAAACAGGAAAAUAAAACAGAAACUAAGGAAAAGUCCCACCUGCAGAAAUAUAUGAAUACCCAAAGCUAAGUAACACACUUCUUACUGUUCACACUGAAGUAGGGAGUGUAAUUUCUUCACUAUUGCUUUAAAGGCAAUGCAGACAAAGGGAAAAUAGGAUCUGGGAAAACAGAUGUUAGAGCUUUCUGCUUUUACUGCAUUUUAAAUAGGGAUUCUGAAAUCUCCAGCCUUUAAUUCAACAUGCAGGUGUUCUGCUGAGAUCAACACGAACUGCUGCAUGCUCUUCACCUCUGAACAUCAGUCUCUUUCUUUAGAAACUGAAAUACAGCAUUACGAUUGUGGCUGGGGACAGCUGUUUAUUUUUUAAACCCACUUAUCAAAUUGAACAGCAGCUAAAGGCCCAGCAGCUUUGACUCAAGAGAGAACUUCCUAUUUUGUAAUAACUCUAUAAAGGUCAAUGCUAAAACACUGAGCCUGCUCUGAUGGGACUGUCUGACUGAGGUUUAUUCAAACAGGCAGGUCUUGGCUGUACGUACACCAGAUAUAGCCACAGUUCUGUAUGCACCUAUCCAGUUCAGUAAAGUGAACUGCUAAGAAACAACUUAGCUAAAAUUGCAGAAAUCCCUGUAUAAACUAUCUGCACUUAAUAUAAUUAACUUGGAUUUUACAGACUGUUUCUUAAUUCAAUCAAUCAAAACUGUAAAUAACAAGUAAUUGACAAGAAUAAUGGAUUCACAACAAACCCUUCCAAGCAGUCCUUUUGCUUGCUAUAGUCUUGCUAAUGCCUGCAGCUGAUACACUGAUAUAGAAGCAGAGGGGGAAUUUGGCAAUUUAAUUACUCCAAAUAGCAGUGUUUGCUCCUCCUCCUCCUGAGACACACACAGGCCAACCUGUUUUGUAUUGUCAGUGUACAACAAUAACAAUUCCAGCACACAGCACCUCCCGUGGAUGAACAACCAGUUUGGUUCCCGUAGGCUUCCUCUUGUGCCUACAAACCCACCCUGCUGCUAAUCUCCAGGAAAUGCCCUGCACUCAGACAUGUCCCUGUGUGCAGCUAUUAAAAGCACGUGCUCAUCUGCUGCAAGUUUGUUAAAUGCUGAAAAGCAGCAAUUAAUGGUGGUGGUGCUUUAUUUGUGGUUUAGUUUGUUCCUUCUUUUCUUCUUUUUAAGGUAUCAUGAUUUCCUUGCUAGAGUAACUGAUAAAAAAGUCCUAGCCUUGAAAAACUUAAAACUUCAUUUUUUUAGCUUCUUAGUUAGCUAAUUACUUUUUUUUUUUUUUUUUUUUUUUUUGCUGGUAAUAUUAAGACAUAGAAGUAGUCAAAUAGUCCAGUGUAACAGAUACUCCCAACACUAUUGAGUGCAGUGAAGUUUGCCAACUUAAUUGACUUUGAGCAGUGUGCACGAUACUUUUAGCAGCCUUAUUUCUCUCUCAGGAGCUAAAGCUCUGACAGACAGUGCUCCACAGCUGCAGGCCACUGUUUCAACCUCAUUUCUUAAGGAAAAGGCUUUAAUUGUCACUCUUAUCUCUGCCUCUCUUCACAUCAAACGACUUUUAAACUCACUGAAUAGUUUCGGCCACAGAGAACUCCAGAAGGAAAACUGUAUUUCUGCAAGGUCCAAGCUUUGUGAAUGCAGGGAGCCAGUAAGAUGGAAGGAAUGUGCCUGUGAGCUUCCCGGUACGAGGAAAGGCAGAUCCUGCAGUAUACACCUUACACAUUCCUAGAUAGCAGAGAAAUCCCAUGAGGGCAGCAAGAGACAACACAAAUGCCUCAGCAUCUGGAAGAACCUUCACUGCCAUGUUUAAAGUCAACCACAAGACAGGAAACUGCAAAGAGGUACAUUCUGCCAGUUCUGUGCCCUCAGUACUGCUCAUUUCACUGCAAGAAGGCAGCUCACAAACCCACCAAGAUCACAGUAGCGCUGCACAGUGUUACAUUUCAGUCUGCUAAACGUGUUUCCUCGUGGAAGAAAAGAGAGAGUAACACUCCAAAUCAAGAUCGUUACUUUGGAGAACACUGAAUGAGGCAUAGUUUUGCCAUUUAGUGUAUUUUAUAGUUAACAUUUCUGACUAGAAAAGCUGCAAGAGCAAGAAAUCCCCAUUUGUUUGUAACAGAGUUAAACCAAAGGCCAACUUGUUUAUUUCACAGGCCUGCACUUUCCAGCUUCACAUGAGUUGUGUGUGAUUAGGCACCGCAGGCAAAGAAUGCAACGUCUAGAGGCUUAUGAUAUAUGCCAGAAACAGAUUUUCAUGCUCCAGCAAAUACAUAAAUAUAUACAUCUACACACAUACACAUAUUUAUGUCUGUUGGCAAUCAGCCAGCCAAAAAUGCCACUCGGGGUGUUUCACACUUCACUGCUCCCCUCAGCUUCCCUUGGAGCCAGAAAGCUUUCAUUUGCCUAUUACAAAGCUUUAUGGCAUUAGCUGCAGUAGUAUGCUUUGGGGAAAUCUCUUCUAGGCAGAGGUUAGUUUUUUUCAGAUUAAUUCUUAUCUCCUUACAUGCACACGCUUGCCCUUCUAACAGAGGUGAUCACAGUAAGAGACACUAAACCCACUAAACCCACAGCUUUCUCCUUACUGUUAACACAGAACAAGAGAUGAAUUCACACUUUCCAAACCACAGAGCAGUUUGUGUUCUCCAAGAAAACAAAAAAUUUAAAGCAGUGAACAGAUGGUGUGACCUCACUCCAGCACAUCAUGUAGGACCCAAGCUCAGAUCCUGGGAUCAUAAACACAAUUCAGUGGAGCAGGCAACGCAUUUAAUCAUACAAGACUCAUAGCCAGGAGCCAGGAACUCCUCUGAUCAGUUCCCAGCACAGCCUCAGGCCCAGCCCUGCAAACUACUACCUACUUAGCAUAGCAUUGCCUGCUACAGACAGCCCUUCUAACUCCAGCAGUGCCACUCAAAGCUGGGGGCUUGAGCUCUCAGAGCCCAAUUAUCCAUCAUUUUAUCAUUGGGCUAAGAAACAAGAAUGAGAUUAGUAUAACUUACCACUGCAAAUCUGUUAUUUGGAGAUUUAGACUGUCAGGCUCCAACAGAAGCUUAAGGCACACUACUAGAGCCUUUUAACACUUAUUUUGCCUCCCAAAGGCACUUACAUGGGAAUGUGAAGCCAUACAACUCCUUUCCAUUCACGUUGAUUUCACAGCAGCCAACGAAUCACGCAAAGGCUUGCAAUGCUGCAAACUUCUGCCUUUCAUUCCAAAAUAACAAACAAAACAAAACAACCCUUCCUCCACCCCCACCAAAACCCACCUCCCUAUGACUCCCCUUUAACCUGACACCACGUGUACUACUUUACCCUUUCACUGCUACACAAGCUGCUGAGUCACUUGAUUUCAGUUGCUUGCUAAGGAGAUCCUCUUGAUCUGGAGGGCUAUCUAUAACUGUCUCCUACCAAGCUCCUUACUGCUAGAAGGAUGUGCAGCAUCAGCUUUCAGUGAUAUACUAAAGAAAAAAAAAUGGAUGAAAAUUAUUAUGAAAGAUAUGCAAUGCUUUUACUGAAAACAGUUUUAGUGAACAAUGAAUUUUUGAAAUGUUUGUCUUCCCUGGAGUGUUGGUCACUGCCUGCGUCCAUCUGGAAACACAAUCAAAGUGAUGGGGGUAGAUACUCGCAGUAUGGCCCCUGUAAGCAGCUGCUGAUCCAUGCAAGUCCAAACCACAGCAUUUCAUUGCAUUUUUUAUACAUUAGCUUAACAGCAGAGACUGAAAACCAGUGUGGUAACGGUGCACCCAAUGAGACAGUGCCCACAUACACGUUUUACACAGCCAUACAGACAUACAUAACAAGCGUGAUGAAAAAUCACAGGAGAGUAAAAUUUAAAAAAUGUCCUAAAAUGUGCAUUUUAUUCCAUAUCAUUAUACAAUGUUUACAUACAGGUAUACGUUUAAAACUGCUCAAAAGAAAGUGUGAAAAACAAAGUGAGGCGAAUAUCGAUUUGUAAGUUCCACCCCCUCCCCAAGCUCCACACAGAUAAAAUACAUUUUAAACAAUCUCUUCCAAAUUUGUGUUUUCUCCUGAAUUUAUUGAAUCUUUCAUUUGAACAUGAAAAAUACAAUUGAAGGAA